RNAcentral lists this ribosomal RNA (466 nucleotides) under uncultured bacterium. RNAcentral's name for it is "partial 16S ribosomal RNA". It matches the Rfam family "Bacterial small subunit ribosomal RNA", at positions 28 to 505 of the family's 1533-position model. The record is from RNAcentral.
GACGAACGCUGGCGGCGUGCUUAACACAUGCAAGUCGAACGGAAAGGCCCUGCUUUUGUGGGGUGCUCGAGUGGCGAACGGGUGAGUAACACGUGAGUAACCUGCCCUUGACUUUGGGAUAACUUCAGGAAACUGGGGCUAAUACCGGAUAGGAGCUCCUGCUGCAUGGUGGGGGUUGGAAAGUUUCGGCGGUUGGGGAUGGACUCGCGGCUUAUCAGCUUGUUGGUGGGGUAGUGGCUUACCAAGGCUUUGACGGGUAGCCGGCCUGAGAGGGUGACCGGCCACAUUGGGACUGAGGUACGGCCCAGACUCCUACGGGAGGCAGCAGUGGGAAAUAUUGCACAAUGGGCGGAAGCCUGAUGCAGCAACGCCGCGUGCGAGAUGACGGCCUUCGGGUUGUAAACCGCUUUCGCCUGUGACGAAGCGUGAGUGACGGUACUGGGUAAAGAAGCACCGGCUAACUACG